CCAAAGGCUCUUUUCAGAGCCACCCACAAACUCGUAAGAGAGCUC
This is a non-coding RNA of Tauraco erythrolophus (red-crested turaco), 45 nucleotides long. The record is from Rfam. Lineage: Eukaryota; Metazoa; Chordata; Aves; Musophagiformes; Musophagidae.